RNAcentral lists this ribosomal RNA (120 nucleotides) under Octodon degus (degu). The record is from RNAcentral. Lineage: Eukaryota; Metazoa; Chordata; Mammalia; Rodentia; Octodontidae.
AUCUAUGGCCAUACCACCCAGAACGCACCUGAUCUCAUCUGAUCUCAGAAGCUAAGCAGAGUCGGGCCUGGUUAGUACUUGGACGGGAGAAAGGCAGAGGUUGAGGCAGGAGGAUAGAUA